AGAUUUGGACACAACAGAGGAAGAAAAGACAGAAACAUCUAGCUGUUUAAGCAUAAUGAAUAUUGAUGGUGAAUCUUCUGCAAAGACAGAUACACAACCCAGUACAGCUGAUACUGAUUUCCUGACAUUCAGUCAAGAUGAUGAUGACUCCAUUGCAAAGACAGAAACACAGCCCAGUACAGCCGAAACUGACUCCAUGACCUUCAGUCAAGAUGUA
This is a long non-coding RNA of Mytilus trossulus (common blue mussel), 217 nucleotides long. RefSeq lists it as uncharacterized. NCBI's taxonomy places the organism in Eukaryota, Metazoa, Mollusca, Bivalvia, Mytilida, Mytilidae. The record is from RefSeq and is a predicted model, not a curated record. The transcript is spliced from 3 exons.